Hordeum vulgare subsp. vulgare (domesticated barley) is the source of this 136-nucleotide non-coding RNA. The record is from Rfam. NCBI's taxonomy places the organism in Eukaryota, Viridiplantae, Streptophyta, Magnoliopsida, Poales, Poaceae.
AACAUACUCCCUACGUCCCAAAAUUCUUUUCUCAGGUUUGCUUAUAAAUGGAUGAAUCUGAAUACUAAAACCUGACUAGAUACAUUUAUAUAUAAACAAAUCUAAGACAAAUUUUUUGGGACGGAGGGAGUACAUA